RNAcentral lists this unclassified non-coding RNA (329 nucleotides) under uncultured fungus. Its description in RNAcentral is "partial contains small subunit ribosomal RNA, internal transcribed spacer 1, and 5.8S ribosomal RNA". The stretch from base 1 to 73 matches the Rfam family "Eukaryotic small subunit ribosomal RNA", at positions 1759 to 1831 of the family's 1831-position model. Lineage: Eukaryota; Fungi. The record is from RNAcentral.
CCAAACUUGGUCAUUUAGAGGAAGUAAAAGUCGUAACAAGGUUUCCGUAGGUGAACCUGCGGAAGGAUCAUUAUUGAAUGAAAUUGAGUGGGGUUGUAGCUGGCCUUUUAUCGGGCAUGUGCACAUCUCACUCGUUCAAUCUCCUUAUUCUAUCUCUGUGCACUUCUCAUGGGCCUAGGUUGCAUCUGAAACAGUGUUGAAACCUAGCUCGUGUGUUUUCAUAUACAUAUUGUCAUGUUUUAAGGAAUGUCUAUGAUGCAUAAAUUGUUGCAUAUAAUACAACUUUCAGCAACGGAUCUCUUGGCUCUCGCAUCGAUGAAGAACGCAGC